GUUUGGGUUGGAUUUUUCUAAAAACUUCAGAAGUAUAGUUGACCUUAAUCUACUCAAAACUCAUUAUUGUCGAGCUGACCACGUAAGUACAACCUGGGGCCUAUGUUGGCGACCUGAUUCACAAGUACGACUUGAGAUUUAUGUGAAUGACCUGAUUUAAGAAUACAACCUUAAAUUUAUAUGAGCGACCAAGAAAUUCACCGGUCCGACCUCGAAAUUUAUUUGCCCAACCAGAGAAUUAGCUUGACAUAGAAAGCUAUUGGUUAAGAUAACGUGGCCUAAUUUCUAGGAAAGUUGUGUGCCACGAUCUAUGUAAACCAUCUCCAACUGAUGACCACGUGCAACUGCUGAAGAAAGUGGGCAGAAGUUAAAGGUGGUAACCACCCACGACCAGGGGCCUAUUUAAGCUGAAAAUGGCAACUGAGGAAGGGGUUAGCAAAA
RNAcentral lists this long non-coding RNA (441 nucleotides) under Citrus maxima (pomelo). RNAcentral's name for it is "long non-coding RNA (CMAX_LNC001102)". Lineage: Eukaryota; Viridiplantae; Streptophyta; Magnoliopsida; Sapindales; Rutaceae. The record is from RNAcentral.